This 400-nucleotide ribosomal RNA is filed under the name uncultured bacterium. Its description in RNAcentral is "bacterial SSU rRNA". It matches the Rfam family "Archaeal small subunit ribosomal RNA", at positions 339 to 741 of the family's 1478-position model. The record is from RNAcentral.
GGGCGAAAACUUUACAAUGCUGGCAACAGCGAUAAGGGAACCUCGAGUGCCAGGUUACAAAUCUGGCUGUCGAGAUGCCUAAAAAGCAUUUCAUAGCAAGGGCCGGGCAAGACCGGUGCCAGCCGCCGCGGUAACACCGGCGGCUCGAGUGGUAACCGUUAUUAUUGGGUCUAAAGGGUCUGUAGCCGGCCGGAUAAGUCUCUUGAGAAAUCUGGCAGCUUAACUGUCAGGCUUUCAGGAGAUACUGUCUGGCUCGAGGCCGGGAGAGGUGAGAGGUACUUCAGGGGUAGGGUGAAAUCUUGUAAUCCUUGAAGGCCACCAGUGGCGAAGGCGUCUCACCAGAACGGACCUGACGGCAAGGGACGAAAGCUAGGGGCACGAACCGGAUUAGAAACCCGUG